GGAUGAACGCUGGCGGCGUGCCUAAUACAUGCAAGUCGAGCGAACAGACGAGGAGCUUGCUCCUUUGACGUUAGCGGCGGACGGGUGAGUAACACGUGGAUAACCUACCUAUAAGACUGGGAUAACUUCGGGAAACCGGAGCUAAUACCGGAUAACAUGUUGAACCGCAUGGUUCAACAGUGAAAGACGGUCUUGCUGUCACUUAUAGAUGGAUCCGCGCCGCAUUAGCUAGUUGGUAAGGUAACGGCUUACCAAGGCAACGAUGCGUAGCCGACCUGAGAGGGUGAUCGGCCACACUGGAACUGAGACACGGUCCAGACUCCUACGGGAGGCAGCAGUAGGGAAUCUUCCGCAAUGGGCGAAAGCCUGACGGAGCAACGCCGCGUGAGUGAAGAAGGUCUUCGGAUCGUAAAACUCUGUUAUUAGGGAAGAACAAAUGUGUAAGUAACUAUGCACGUCUUGACGGUACCUAAUCAGAAAGCCACGGCUAACUACGUG
RNAcentral lists this ribosomal RNA (498 nucleotides) under uncultured bacterium. RNAcentral's name for it is "partial 16S ribosomal RNA". It matches the Rfam family "Bacterial small subunit ribosomal RNA", at positions 27 to 507 of the family's 1533-position model. The record is from RNAcentral.